RNAcentral lists this ribosomal RNA (253 nucleotides) under uncultured bacterium. RNAcentral's name for it is "partial 16S ribosomal RNA". It matches the Rfam family "Bacterial small subunit ribosomal RNA", at positions 524 to 776 of the family's 1533-position model. The record is from RNAcentral.
UACGGGGGGGGUAAGCGUUAAUCGGAAUUACUGGGCGUAAAGCGUGCGCAGGCGGCUUUGCAAGACAGAUGUGAAAUCCCCGGGCUUAACCUGGGAACUGCAUUUGUGACUGCAUGGCUGGAGUGCGGCAGAGGGGGAUGGAAUUCCGCGUGUAGCAGUGAAAUGCGUAGAUAUGCGGAGGAACACCGAUGGCGAAGGCAAUCCCCUGGGCCUGCACUGACGCUCAUGCACGAAAGCGUGGGGAGCAAACAGG